Molecule: ribosomal RNA, 626 nt
Filed under: Enterococcus faecium
Lineage: Bacteria; Bacillati; Bacillota; Bacilli; Lactobacillales; Enterococcaceae
Description: bacterial SSU rRNA
Rfam family: Bacterial small subunit ribosomal RNA
Source: RNAcentral
GAGUGGCGAACGGGUGAGUAACACGUGGGUAACCUGCCCAUCAGAAGGGGAUAACACUUGGAAACAGGUGCUAAUACCGUAUAACAAUCAAAACCGCAUGGUUUUGAUUUGAAAGGCGCUUUCGGGUGUCGCUGAUGGAUGGACCCGCGGUGCAUUAGCUAGUUGGUGAGGUAACGGCUCACCAAGGCCACGAUGCAUAGCCGACCUGAGAGGGUGAUCGGCCACAUUGGGACUGAGACACGGCCCAAACUCCUACGGGAGGCAGCAGUAGGGAAUCUUCGGCAAUGGACGAAAGUCUGACCGAGCAACGCCGCGUGAGUGAAGAAGGUUUUCGGAUCGUAAAACUCUGUUGUUAGAGAAGAACAAGGAUGAGAGUAACUGUUCAUCCCUUGACGGUAUCUAACCAGAAAGCCACGGCUAACUACGUGCCAGCAGCCGCGGUAAUACAUAUGUGGCAAGCGUUGUCCGGAUUUAUUGGGCGUAAAGCGAGCGCAGGCGGUUUCUUAAUUCUGAUGUGAAAGCCCCCGGCUCAACCGGGGAGGGUCGUUGGAAACUGGGAGACUUGAGUGCAGUAUAUGAGAGUGGAAUUCCAUGUGUAGCGCUGAAAUGCCUAAAUAUAUGGAGGA